UACAUUAUAGCCAUAAAGGGAACACUUAUACGGCUAUUCAGUACACUUUAAACUUUUGUUGGAACACCCAUAUAUCUGACGGUGCUAAGUAAGUCUUAAAAUAAAAACUCUAACUAUUGCUUUACUGAGGUACAUCUGUAGUGGUGUAGAGCACACCCAUAUAUCUAGGGAAAAGUGAUAUGACCACUUUUAUAGUGAAGACAUAAUUUUUCACAUCAUAGCCAGAAACGAAACACUAAUAUGGCUAUUCGGUACACUUUAAGCCUUGGUUGGAACACCGAUAUAAUUGACAGUGCUAAUCAAGUCUUAUAAAUAAAGGCUCUAGCUAUGGCUUUACCGAGGUGCAUCUAUAGUGCUAAUGGGCACACCCAUAUAUCUAAUAGUGAUAUAUGCACUUUUAUAGGGUAGACCCGAUUUUUCACAUUAUAGUGAUAAAUGGAACACUUAUAUGGCUAUUCAGUACACUUUAAAUCUUGAUUGGAACACCCAUAUAUCUGACGGUGCUAAGUAAGUCUUAUAAAAAAAGCUCUAGCUAUUGCUUUACUGAGGUACAUCUGUAGUGGUGUAGAGCACACCCAUAUAUCUAGGAAAAAGUGAUAUGACCACUUUUAUAGUGAAGACAUAAUU
RNAcentral lists this long non-coding RNA (627 nucleotides) under Ananas comosus (pineapple). RNAcentral describes it as "long non-coding RNA (ACOM_LNC010129)". Lineage: Eukaryota; Viridiplantae; Streptophyta; Magnoliopsida; Poales; Bromeliaceae. The record is from RNAcentral.